Molecule: long non-coding RNA, 1512 nt
Organism: Nylanderia fulva
Lineage: Eukaryota; Metazoa; Arthropoda; Insecta; Hymenoptera; Formicidae
Source: RefSeq, a predicted model, not a curated record
UAAAUUAUAAAUACUAAAUAUAAAAUAAAGAAAUUGCAAUAUAUUUUGCUCCAAAAGGAAUUAAUCGCGCUGAGAAGACUCGAAUUUACAAAAAAGAUAAGAAAAAUUAAAGAAAAAAUUAUAAAUCGCGAAGAUUAAAAUAAUGUUAAAAAAGCGAAAAAAUUGCGUUACUUCGAAAAAUCAAAAAGUGCUCAGAAUAAAAAGCUAAAGCUAUCAAGAAGGUACAAGCAUUAUAAGCAACUGUGCAUAAUAAUUAAAAGAUAAUUUAUAUAGUAUUAUACUUGAACAAACUAAAGGAAUGAGAAAUUUAUAUGUAAUUUACUUUUUAAAAUUGCAAAAGAAUACGAGAAAAACUCGAUGCAACUUAUAUUUGAGAUUGAAUCUUGCUUUUUUUCCCUUCCUUUUCAGAUUGCGAAGAACUCAGUAAAGAAUUCUCGCUUCUCUUACAGCACCAUAAAAGUAUUUCUUACUGUUUUUCCGAUAAUCACGCUAAUGGCAAUGAUACCAUCGAGAAUAUGCGAAUAAGAUCACCGCAUCUAGUACCACUGAAAUUACUAUCGCUGUAAUUACUACUGUAGAAAUUACUGCUGAAACACAGUCCCCGCUGCAACUACUAUUCCUAUUUCAUUCGAAUAACUCUGUCUUUCCGUCGCGCAUGUGACACUAGAAAUGCUUCCGAGAUCUGGGAAGAGAAAACAAACUCACGGACAAUGUCGCACGUAGACAACGAAAAUAUGCAAAUUGCUGUAAGCUUUUCUCCGACUUCUCGAGACUACACUUAUUUAACGUAUAUCAUACAUCAGAAUUUUGAUGCGGGAUUUCUCAUGUAAAAAAAGAUACGCAAAUAUAACUUUAAAUCGUUAUAUUUUCUAACUGGUUCCUUGCAAAAAAUAAUGAAUUCGCAUAUAUAAUUAAGAGAACAGAGUAUAAAUAGAAAAUACGACAAAGAGGGAGUACUUAGUACGUUUGUUUCUCGUAUAAAGUAUACGUUUCAGUAUAAUCAAACAUCGGUUUAUAAAAACAAGCAAAGAAUUGUGGUAAGUUUAAAUUCGUAAGUAACAAAAACAGUAUUUUGCAGAAAAGUAAAAAGAGAAUUUAUACGCAGAAUUUAUACUAGAAAAUUUCGAAAUAAUUAAAACUUUUUGAAUACAUUUCCUUUUGUAGAUUAAUUUUGUAUUCUGUACAUUGCGUGAAGAUUACAUUUACAGCACGAUGAAAAUAUUUCCUAAUAUUUUCUUGAUAAUUGUGCUAAUGGCUAUCAUGAUAUCAUCGGGGAUCUGCCAACGCAGACGCGUUCCUCAGAGAUAUCAAUAUUCUCGUUUCAAUAAUAAUAAGGUUUAUAUUACCUCGACAGAUUUGAAUACACGCUCGAAUACAAGAUAUCGGGGCUAAUCGCAGAUUCACAAAUAUAUUCAGAUAUAUCACGAGAUCAAACUCACUAAUUCAAUAAUUUAAUGGAAAAGCGACGAACUAAUUUGAGAAAUAUAUGAAAUAAUAAAAUUCUUUUUUACA